GAUGAACGCUAGCGGAAUGCUUUACACAUGCAAGUCGAGCGGCAGCGCGGGGGCAACCCUGGCGGCGAGCGGCGAACGGGUGAGUAACAUAUCGGAACGUACCCCGUCGUGGGGGAUAACACAGCGAAAGCUGUGCUAAUACCGCAUACGACCUGAGGGUGAAAGCGGGGGAUCGCAAGACCUCGCGCGAUGGGAGCGGCCGAUAUCGGAUUAGCUUGUUGGUGAGGUAAAGGCUCACCAAGGCGACGAUCCGUAGCUGGUCUGAGAGGACGACCAGCCACACUGGGACUGAGACACGGUCCAGACUCCUACGGGAGGCAGCAGUAGGGAAUAUUGGACAAUGGGCGGAAGCCUGAUCCAGCCAUGCCGCGUGGAGGAUUAAGGCCCUCUGGGUUGUAAACUCCUUUUAUCUGGAAGAACCAUUCCGACUUGUCGGAACAUGACGGUACCAGAGGAAUAAGCACCGGCUAACUCCGUGCCAGCAGCCGCGGU
Molecule: ribosomal RNA, 492 nt
Filed under: uncultured bacterium
Lineage: Bacteria
Description: bacterial SSU rRNA
Rfam family: Bacterial small subunit ribosomal RNA
Source: RNAcentral